This 597-nucleotide ribosomal RNA is filed under the name uncultured bacterium. RNAcentral describes it as "bacterial SSU rRNA". It matches the Rfam family "Bacterial small subunit ribosomal RNA", at positions 338 to 947 of the family's 1533-position model. The record is from RNAcentral.
CCUACGGGAGGCAGCAGUAAGGAAUCUUCCACAAUGGACGAAAGUCUGAUGGAGCAACGCCGCGUGCAGGAUGAAGGCUUUCGGGUCGUAAACUGCUUUUAUAUGGGAAGAUUAUGACGGUACCAUAUGAAUAAGGACCGGCUAACUACGUGCCAGCAGCCGCGGUAAUACGUAGGGUCCAAGCGAUAUCCGGAAUUACUGGGCGUAAAGCGUGUGUAGGUGGAUUAAUAAGUGUGAUGCGAAAUCCGGCGGCUCAACCGUUUGGACUGUGUCGCAUACUGUUAGUCUAGAGGACAGCAGAGGUAAGUGGAAUUACGGGUGUAGCAGUGAAAUGCGUAGAUAUCCGUAGGAACACCAAUGGCGAAGGCAGCUUACUGGGCCACACCUGACACUGAGACACGAAAGCGUGGGGAGCGAACAGGAUUAGAUACCCUGGUAGUCCACGCCGUAAACGAUGCAUACUAUUAGUAUGGGGUAUCGACCCCCUGUGCUGAGAAGCUAACGCGAUAAGUAUGCCGCCUGGGGAGUACGAGCGCAAGCUUAAAACUUAAAUUAGAAUUGACGGCUUGAGAGNGCGAGACGACGACGAGGAGGAGG